AUUUCUCUGAGAUGUUCGCAAGCGGGCCAGUCCCCUGAGCCGAUAUUUCAUACCACAAGAAUGUGGCGCUCCGCGGUUGGUGAGCAUGCUCGGUCCGUCCGAGAAGCCUUAAAACUGCGACGACACAUUCACCUUGAACCAAGGGUUACAGCCUGCGGCGGCAUCUCGGAGAUUCC
This 176-nucleotide non-coding RNA is filed under the name Escherichia coli. RNAcentral describes it as "6S RNA". It matches the Rfam family "6S / SsrS RNA". Rfam says of the family: E. coli 6S RNA was the first non coding RNA to be sequenced, but its function was unknown until recently. Lineage: Bacteria; Pseudomonadati; Pseudomonadota; Gammaproteobacteria; Enterobacterales; Enterobacteriaceae. The record is from RNAcentral.